AAGAAGUCUAAAAAACCACAGCAAUCUGCAUAAAGAUACUGUGAUACGUUCCGUCUGCCGCUGAAGAAGGUACAAGGAUCUAGGACUCACCUGAGGUUUUCAACAGAGUUCUUCAGUGAUGAAUGAUCUUCAGAUGGGGUUGGUAGAGACAUCAUUUUUAUACUGAUUGCUUCAACCCUCUGCGAGUCUAAGCUUCUUAUUAACAAACUGGCUUCAUCCCAGAAAUUCAUAAGGGAUUAUAAUGUAGUUACAUAAUCAUAGCUAUUUGAGUUCUCUGACACAGAAAAAUAAGGUGACAAAAUGGCACUUCUCGGAUUAUCACAGAAUUACAAAAUCACAGAAUUGGAGCUGAAAGGGACAUCCAGAGAUCAACGAGUCCAGCCCCCCUGCAAAGAAGGCUCCCUACAGCAGGCUACACAGACAGGGUUUCUUAGCUGAUGGACUAUUCAGAACAUACUGAACCUCAGUAAAAUAGAUGUGAUGUCUCAACAGGGAAAGGAUUACCUUCUUAACCAGCAGCACUCCAGCUGUUUUGGCCCAUAUUCCUCAAGAUCACAAACUAAACCAGGGGUGCUAUAGCCCAGACUCCCUACAAAAUCAACUUAUUUGAUGAGUUCAUCUGCAAUGGUGAAAGCAACUGGGAGGAGUAAUUGUGCUUCUCCACAGCAAACAAAGAGAAAGAUUCAUGACGUGCCAGGUAGCUUCACCUUUCUUCUUCUGGGUGAAAAUCCUCUGGGGAAUGCCACUCCUCCCCUCCCCUCCAAGAACCAAAUGCCCCCCAAAAACAGUCCACAGAACCAUAACAUUAACUCUUUAACUCCCACCAUUUUACGUGAUGUUAUGAUGUGGAAUACCAACAACAAAAAUUACAAAACCAUUGCAG
This is a long non-coding RNA of Gallus gallus (chicken), 883 nucleotides long. The record is from Ensembl. Lineage: Eukaryota; Metazoa; Chordata; Aves; Galliformes; Phasianidae.